UACGUAGUGGGCAAGCGUUAUCCGGAUUUACUGGGUGUAAAGGGAGCGUAGACGGCUGUGCAAGUCUGAAGUGAAAGGCAUGGGCUCAACCUGUGGACUGCUUUGGAAACUGUGCAGCUAGAGUGUCGGAGAGGUAAGUGGAAUUCCUAGUGUAGCGGUGAAAUGCGUAGAUAUUAGGAGGAACACCAGUGGCGAAGGCGGCUUACUGGACGAUGACUGACGUUGAGGCUCGAAAGCGUGGGGAGCAAACAGG
This 253-nucleotide ribosomal RNA is filed under the name Dorea formicigenerans. Its description in RNAcentral is "partial 16S ribosomal RNA". It matches the Rfam family "Bacterial small subunit ribosomal RNA", at positions 524 to 776 of the family's 1533-position model. Lineage: Bacteria; Bacillati; Bacillota; Clostridia; Lachnospirales; Lachnospiraceae. The record is from RNAcentral.